UGUGUGUGUGUGUGUGUGUGUAUGUGUGUGUGUGCAUGCACAUGUGCACACACACACACACAUACA
RNAcentral lists this microRNA precursor (66 nucleotides) under Marmota monax (woodchuck). The record is from RNAcentral. Lineage: Eukaryota; Metazoa; Chordata; Mammalia; Rodentia; Sciuridae.